RNA transcript from Triticum dicoccoides, 2841 nucleotides. RefSeq lists it as uncharacterized. The record is from RefSeq and is a predicted model, not a curated record. The transcript has 4 exons. Lineage: Eukaryota; Viridiplantae; Streptophyta; Magnoliopsida; Poales; Poaceae.
GGCGGUGGCGGUUUUUAUCUCUGUGCUCUGCCUCGACGCGGGAGGCAUCGGAUCAAUCCGGCCGAACUAGCUACCAGAAGGAUGGGUCACCGUCGUCCCCAACCCCAUGGCUCACCACCCGCCUCAGCUCACUCUCUGACAUCGCCGGCUGCAUGAUCUAGGCUGUGCGGGGGAAGAUUUGUGUGCCGAGUUGUUCUCGCCAUCGGGACCGACAGAUCCAGACUUCCAUCGAGCUCACGCAUCACCAUCGCCACCAGCAAGCACAAACAGGUGCUCUCCGUCGCCGUCGCCACUCUGCCUCAUGAGUACGUGCCCGCACCCAUGACGGCGAGGCGCUCCACGCCUGGGCAUGUUCAAAGUCUGGCGCCGCCUCCCACGCGCUCGUCUCAACCUCCCUUAUCACCUUCUACUCCUCCCUCCCGCGGCCCCUCGUCCCCGCGAACCUGGUCGUCUUCGCGGACAUCCCCAUCGUCGCCCGCGACGUCGCCUCGUGGAAAUUCCUGCUCAACCCACUCUCGCACCACCGCCCCCGUGCCGUGCUCUCCCACUUCCGCUCCAUGCUAUUUUCGUCCUCGCCUGCCAUCCUCCCGUCUUCUCACUCUUUUGCCGCCGUCUUCACAGCCGCUGCCCCACGGACGCAAACACCGCAGACCAAGUGAUGGUGUUUGCGUCGUCUAAGGAGAGGAACUCCAUCACUUGGUCUGCGGUGAUCACUGGGUACGCACAGAAUGGGAAUGCAGAAAGCGCAUUUAGAAUAUUUUUGCAGAUGCUUACUGAAGGGUUUUCACACCAAGUGAGUUCACUGGUUGCUGUGCUCAAUUCGUGUAGUGAUGUGGGAGCAUCGAUGGAAGGAAAGCAGGCACAUGGUUGAUGGUGAAGCUUGGGUUUGAGGCACAGGUGUAUGUGAAGAGUGCACUAGUGGACAUAAUGGGAGCACGAGGAAGCCUUGAGGUUGUAUGCCAGGAUGGACAAGGGGGCAUCAUUCUGACUAACUUAACUAUGUCCAUCGCGCGGCAUGGCUACCCGGUGCCGGUGUACAGCGACGGGGCCACCUGACAAGGACGUCAAGGUUGCGAUUGAUAACUGCAGCCAUAGGUCGUCAGAUCUGUCAUCGGCGCCGUUCUUCCGCUCGAUGCAACCGUCAUCCACGUGCUCCUCCUAAAGUUCCUCCUCGCCACCAUGGGUGGACGUCGGUGAGGCUAGCCUUCCCUCCAUGCGCAGGCAUGGUAUAAUAGCCAUAUUUCUUUGUAGGUGCAUUGGGAUUUUGUCUUGGAGAACCAAGAACAAUCCUGUUUUGAUAAGGGUGGCAUUUUUACAAGCUUUAGUUCUAACUUCUAACAUUAGUGUGCCUUGUUUCAGUUAUCUGUUAGGUUGAUCUCUCCCGUGUGGGCCCAACAGCCCAACGGACCCCUGAUUCGCGCCCUGAUCGGGGGCGCCCAACCACAAUAUGGUUGACGGGCCCCUGUCACGCAGCGCUACAUAAAGAGGUGGGGGUCGGCGGCACGCAGUACGAGGUUCACCGCGUUGCCAGGCUUCCCACCGAAAACCCCGACCCGAUCUAGGUCUAGCGCUGACAGUGACGGGAAGCUCCGCCGCCGCCACUGCCCACACACCGCCACCAUCCACUCACUGCCAUCACCGGCCACCGUCACCAUGGCCGGCACCGGGAGUUCCUCAUCUACACCUGGACAAGGAGGCUUUCACUUGAUGAGUUGCCUAAAAGAAGUUCCGACACUCAGAGGUGACAACCACACUGAGUGGAGGAAGAAAGUUGAACUGGCAUUUAUUUGUGCUGAUCUUGACUGGGUUGUGGUGAAACCACAGCCGGUCAGACCCACAGAGCCAGUAAGAGAGGCCACUGAUGAUGAUGCUGCAUGGGCUAAAAAGAAGGGGGAAUAUGCUCCUUUGGAGCAGUCCUACCUCAUAGAUAACCAAAAGUGGGUCAAUGCAAACAAAAAGUGCAUGGCUUUUAUAAAGAAUACAAUUGAGAGCGCCAUUGUGGGCUCCAUUCCAGAGUGCACUUCCGCAGGGGAGUUGCUUACAAAGAUAAAGAGCCAGUUCACUGGCUCUUCAAAGAUCUAUGCCACCCAGGUGUUAGAGCAACUGGUGACAGAACGCUACACAGGUGGUAGUCGUGGAAUAAGAGAGCACAUCCUCAGGAUGAGUAUAUGGCAGCAAAGCUCAAGCCCAUGGAUGCGGAUCUGGAGAUCAAACCAGCACUCCUGGUUCACCUAGUCAUGGCUUCACUGCCACAGGAGUUUGCAACUUUUGUUGUAAACUAUAAUAUGUCACCUGGAACAUGGGACAUUGAAAAGACAAUAGCAAUGUGUGUCCAAGAAGAGGACAGACUCAAAGCCGCACAUGGUGGUUCAAUCAACUAUGUGAAGGAUUGGAAGAAAAAGAACUACAAUCAAAACAUCAAAAGUUCUCCUUCAAAGAAUGGAAAAGCCCCCUAUCAGCAUCAGCAUCAGCAACAGCCUUUCUCAGUGGACAAAGACAUGUGUCUCCACUGCAAGCAGAAAGGGCAUUACAAGAAAGACUGCGCUGCUUGGCUGAAGUCAGUCAUGGAAAGGGAUUCCAUUCGACGCGAACUACGCUAAGAAGCGAAAGACGCAUUGAAGUGGCAACGGAGUUGAAGCAGAAGUUGAAGCUGUCGGUGAUAUCUCCUUGGAGUUAGCUGGCGGAUUCAAUCUUCUACUUGGAGAUGUUUUAUUUGUUCCAUCAUGUCAUAGAAACUUAAUUAGUGUUUCUUGUUUGGACAAAGAUAAUUAUGAAUGUCAUUUUGGACAUGGCAAGUGUGCCAUUUGGUAUAAUAAUGCUUAUGUGGGUGAUGCUUUACUA